Molecule: ribosomal RNA, 459 nt
Filed under: Limosilactobacillus reuteri
Lineage: Bacteria; Bacillati; Bacillota; Bacilli; Lactobacillales; Lactobacillaceae
Description: bacterial SSU rRNA
Rfam family: Bacterial small subunit ribosomal RNA
Source: RNAcentral
UUAACCGAAGAAGUGCAUCGGAAACCGGGCGACUUGAGUGCAGAAGAGGACAGUGGAACUCCAUGUGUAGCGGUGGAAUGCGUAGAUAUAUGGAAGAACACCAGUGGCGAAGGCGGCUGUCUGGUCUGCAACUGACGCUGAGGCUCGAAAGCAUGGGUAGCGAACAGGAUUAGAUACCCUGGUAGUCCAUGCCGUAAACGAUGAGUGCUAGGUGUUGGAGGGUUUCCGCCCUUCAGUGCCGGAGCUAACGCAUUAAGCACUCCGCCUGGGGAGUACGACCGCAAGGUUGAAACUCAAAGGAAUUGACGGGGGCCCGCACAAGCGGUGGAGCAUGUGGUUUAAUUCGAAGCUACGCGAAGAACCUUACCAGGUCUUGACAUCUUGCGCUAACCUUAGAGAUAAGGCGUUCCCUUCGGGGACGCAAUGACAGGUGGUGCAUGGUCGUCGUCAGCUCGUGUC